Molecule: transfer RNA, 84 nt
Filed under: Felis catus (domestic cat)
Lineage: Eukaryota; Metazoa; Chordata; Mammalia; Carnivora; Felidae
Rfam family: tRNA
About the family: Transfer RNA (tRNA) molecules are approximately 80 nucleotides in length.
Source: Rfam by way of RNAcentral
GCCUGAGUGGCUCAGUGGGUUAAGCGUCUGACUUCAGCUCAGGUUAUGAUCUCAUAGUUCUGGGUUCGAGCCCCGCAUCGGGCU